CCUCUCACUCUCUCUACCCCCUCUCUUUUUCUCUACCUCUCUUCCCCUCUACCUCUUCAUCCUCCUCCCUCCACCCCUCUCUCCCAGUCCCAUUCCUCUCUCCCUAUACUUACCUAAUCACAGAUCAUUAGUAGCCAUGACAUUGUGAUUGUUUUUAUAUUAAAUGACUGCUAUCCUAGUUAUCAGAUUUGGAUGAAAUAGUUAUCAGCUGGAUGGUGAAGCCACUAUUUUAUGGAACUGCGUCCCAAACACCACCCUGUGUUCUAUAUAGUGUACUUGAUCAGGGCCCUAUUCCCUAUAUAGUGGACUUGUUUGUCACGUUCUCUCAUCAGAAGAGUUUCUUAGAUCCCAAAUUAUACCCUAUUCCCUAUAUAGAACACUACUAUAGACCAGAGCCCUAUUCCCUAUAUAGUACACUAAUUUUGACCAGAGCCCUAUUCCCUAUAUAGUACACUACUGUUGACCAGGGCCAUAUUCCCUAUAUAGUGCAUUACUUUAGAUCAGAGGCCUGUGGGGAAUCGGGGGGCAAUUGGGACGCAGCCUGUAUGUGAAACUGGUCAGUUUUGAAAUGUUUCUGCGGUUCUUAUUGGUUGUCUGAUUGUCUGACCAUGUCUGUGGUUGUUAUGGUUACAGACUGUUUUGGUUGUUGUUUCUCUGUUGUUUAUCUCUCUUUUUGUGGUUUAACUGUCUGUGGUCAGGUUCUGGCCAAUCAGAUGGCUCUGUGGUCAGGUUCUGGCCAAUCAGAUGGCUCUGUGGUCAGGUUCUGGCCAAUCAGAUGGCUCUGUGGUCAGGUUCUGGCCAAUCAGAUGGCUCUGUGGUCAGGUUCUGGCCAAUCAGAUGGCUCUGUGGUCAGGUUCUGGCCAAUCAGAUGGCUCUGUGGUCAGGUUCUGGCCAAUCAGAUGGCUCUGUGGUCAGGUUCUGGCCAAUCAGAUGGCUCUGUGGUGGUGUUGUGACUACUGCUGUUUAACUUCUCCUGGAGGACCCCAGGUGUUUCUGUCCGGCCCAGGAUUCAAUCAAAGGCGCAUUGUGGAUUAUGAGCAAACCACACUAGACUGUUCAAUCUAAUGUUCAGCUGACAUCCGCAGCGUUUACCAUGACAACCAGAGGAAUGAGCUGGUUAACGGUGCAUCGCCGACUGGCGUCGUGGACAGUUCACCUUUGGUUGAAUCCCAGCCGUCUCAUUCAGACAUGGGACACCAAAUCAUGUAUCAAUUACAUGUCCCAAAAUGGCACCCUAUUCCCUAUAUAGUCCCCUACCUUUGACCAGAGGCCCACGGGGGGGGUAACGGGAGGCCCACGGGGGGGGUAACGGGAGGCCCACGGGGUGGUAACGGGAGGCCCACGGGGGAGGCAGUCUGUCAGCCCUCCAGGUCUAUUUUGACCACUCAGGAGGUAUGGAGACCACAGGGGAAUAGGGGCCCACAGGGGAGGCAGUCUGUCUGCCCUCCAGGUCUAGUUUGACCUCUCAGGAGGUAUGGAGACCACAGGGGAAUAGGGGCCCACAGGGGAGGCAGUCUGUCUGCCCUCCAGGUCUAGUUUGACCUCUCAGGAGGUAUGGAGACCACAGGGGAAUAGGGGCCCACAGGGGAGGCAGUCUGUCAGCCCUCCAGGUCUAUUUUGACCACUCAGGAGGUAUGGAGACCACAGGGGAAUAGGGGCCCACAGGGGAGGCAGUCUGUCUGCCCUCCAGGUCUAGUUUGACCUCACAUCUCCCUGGUUAAAUGGAACUGGACUCGUCACUCGCUGCUUCUCAAUGUUUUAUGGAAUAUCUGUAUGUUAUUAUAUCAUCACAUUUUAAAACUACUUAUGUGUUGACCUCUAAGUACCCUGUGAACUAUUUUGAUUGAGGAAAAAAUAAAAAUAAUAAAUAGAUUUGUCAAA
Oncorhynchus gorbuscha (pink salmon) is the source of this 1881-nucleotide long non-coding RNA. RefSeq lists it as uncharacterized. The record is from RefSeq and is a predicted model, not a curated record. The transcript is spliced from 2 exons. Lineage: Eukaryota; Metazoa; Chordata; Actinopteri; Salmoniformes; Salmonidae.